CAAACCCGCCCGGCCCGGCAGCCGUACCGCAGACGAGCCCGCGCCCGCGCCGCUCAGAUCUCCCAGCUGGACAUUGGAAAUAACUUUUGAUGGUGUAGGGACUUUUCCAUGUGACCCCAGGUAAGUCCUCUUUUGGUGACCAUUUAUAAAUAUUUGUAAAGACAUUUGAACAG
RNAcentral lists this long non-coding RNA (173 nucleotides) under Ictidomys tridecemlineatus (thirteen-lined ground squirrel). Its description in RNAcentral is "lncRNA (ENSSTOG00000034081.1)". The record is from RNAcentral. Lineage: Eukaryota; Metazoa; Chordata; Mammalia; Rodentia; Sciuridae.